This 406-nucleotide ribosomal RNA is filed under the name uncultured bacterium. RNAcentral's name for it is "bacterial SSU rRNA". It matches the Rfam family "Bacterial small subunit ribosomal RNA", at positions 29 to 417 of the family's 1533-position model. The record is from RNAcentral.
AACGAACGCUGGCGGCGUGCCUAACACAUGCAAGUCGUGCGAGAAAGUUCCUUCGGGAGCGAGUAAAGCGGCGCACGGGUGAGUAACACGUAGGUAACCUGCCCCCCAGUCUGGAACAACUAGAGGAAACUCUAGCUAAUGCCGGAUGAGACCACGAUCCCUUCGGGGGUUGCGGCCAAAGAUGGCCUCUACUUGUAAGCUAUCGCUGAGGGAUGGGCCUGCGGGCCAUUAGCUUGUUGGUGAGGUAACGGCUCACCAAGGCUGUGAUGGCUAGCUGGUCUGAGAGGAUGACCAGCCACACUGGGACUGAGACACGGCCCAGACUCCUACGGGAGGCAGCAGUGGGGAUAUUGGCGCAAAUGGGCGAAAGCCUGACGCAGCGACGCCGCGUGGGUGAUGAAGGCCU